AAGUUGGAUUCGCUAGUAAUCGCGCAUCAGCCAUGGCGCGGUGAAUACGUUCCCGGGCCUUGUACACACCGCCCGUCAAGCCAUGGGAGCCGGGGGCGCCUGAAGUCCGGGACCGCGAGGACCGGCCUAGGGCGAAACUGGUAACUGGGGCUAAGUCGUAACAAGGUAAC
This 170-nucleotide ribosomal RNA is filed under the name uncultured bacterium. Its description in RNAcentral is "partial 16S ribosomal RNA". It matches the Rfam family "Bacterial small subunit ribosomal RNA", at positions 1323 to 1500 of the family's 1533-position model. The record is from RNAcentral.